RNAcentral lists this unclassified non-coding RNA (3229 nucleotides) under Megachile rotundata (alfalfa leafcutting bee). Its description in RNAcentral is "two pore calcium channel protein 1-like, transcript variant X1". Lineage: Eukaryota; Metazoa; Arthropoda; Insecta; Hymenoptera; Megachilidae. The record is from RNAcentral.
AAAUUCUCAAAAUUACAAAUCUCUAAUGUUCUUCGUUUUAGAAAGAUAGAAGUUUAAAAAAGUGAUGGAACCUUUUAUCUUGCAUUACUAUAGAACUAUACUAAGCCUGCGACUAUAGUAGUGUAUAUACAUGUACAUUCGAAUCAGCUGAACUUAUUCUUUACGAAUACGCAUGCGCCUUAUGAAUUGGAACGUCAAAUGAGAAGAUUGAAUAACAUUACUCGGUAUCAUCAUACUAUAAUAUGUAAAAUAUCUUCCAUCCAAAACUAUGCAUAUAUCUUCGCGUAUUGUUUGCAGUCUAAUCCAGACAGUACUCAACUCCUGAGUAGUGACAUCACUGUAUUGGAUUAGACAACCUGUCGUAAAUAAGUGUUUGUUAACACAAAUGUGUUGCUUAUUGAAUACAUGUGACAUGUGACACGCUGUUCGCAAAUGUCUUCUCCUAUAUCCAUUAAACCUGUCGAAUAUUCCACUAAUUAUCAACGUUUCAGCGAUGAUGCCAACAUCUCACUUGAACCAGAUAUUACGCACCGAUCAUGUCCAAGAUAUGGAUCUAUAUUAUCAUGUUCUUCCACAGAAAAUCAUAUAAACUCUCCUAUGGAGAGUACAAGAACACCAGAACAGUUUAUCCAAAAAUUUGAAACAGACGAGGCAGAGAGAGAAAACAUGUCUGAAAAUGCAGUUCUUCCAUCACAUGAUUCUCUUUCGGAUCAUGAUUUACAUUGGGAAAUGAAUUAUCACGAAGCCGCAAUAUUUUUAGAGGAAGGCAGGAACAAUGAAAAGUUUGACUCUCAUCCGAAACAUCCAGAAGAUUUACCAGCAUAUCUUUUAGUUCAUAACAAUUGGUAUUAUGGAUUAGAUUUGUUGACCUCUCUCAUACUUUUGGCUUUAGCUUUUGUGGAAGAACCAGCUGUACCUUUGUUUGGUAUGCCAGUUUGGGCACAUGGAUCAAUAGAACUUUUUGCUUUAAUAAUCAUAGGUAUAGAAUUAGCUUUAAAAUUAAGAUGGAUUGGUUGGUUAACAAUGUUGAAACAUAAACGAACAAUGUUGAAGUGUGUUACAUUAGUCAUCAUGUUUAUAGAAGCUAUGGCAGUUUUAGUGCGGCAGUCAUCGCAUUUUCGUGUAACACGUGCACUAAGGCCUAUAUUUUUGGUAGACACAAAAUGCUUUGGAGGAGUAAGAAGAUUUAUAAGACAAAUACUUUUAACGUUACCACCGAUUUUAGAUAUGUUAGGACUACUUUUAUUUUUCAUAACACUUUACACUGUAUUGGGUUAUUACAUGUUCAGUGAAAUGAACAGAAAUUUUUCUACGCUGCAAGACAGUUUUGUUAGUCUCUUUGUUCUACUCACUACUGCUAAUUUUCCAGAUGUAAUGAUGCCGUCAUAUUCAAAAAACAAGUGGUAUGCAAUAUAUUUUGUAUCUUACUUAUCCACAAUGUUAUAUGUGAUGAUGAAUUUAAUGUUGGCAGUAGUUAAUGAAACGUUUACAGCAGCUGAGCGUGAUAAAUUUAAAAAAUUGUAUUUACAUAAAAGAAAAGCGUGUCAGCAUGCUUUUAAGUUAUUAGUUUCUAAACAGAAUCCAGACAAAAUGCGAUUUCGUCAAUUUGAAGGAUUAAUGCGAUAUUAUGCUCCGAACAAAAGUAUAAGAGAUAUUGUAUUAAUGUUUCGACAUUUGAAUACUUCUGGAAGUGGAUCCUUAAGUGCUGAAGAAUUUUUAAAUAUUUAUGAUACUAUAAUGCUUCAAUGGGAACCACAAUACUCUGCUGUGCCUUGGUAUCACAGUAGAUCACAACCAUUACAAAUUUUAUGUACUGGAGCUCAUGCUGCUAUUAGAUGGACAUAUUUUGAAGUUUUAAUGUAUGUAACAAUUGCUGCAAAUGGUAUUGCUAUGAUAAUACGGAUAUUAGAGCCAAAUGACAAUGUACAUGGUACUCUUCUAUUUGCUGCAUCUUGGGAUACUUUCCUUUUUGGAGGAAUAUUUGUUACUGAAGCAUUAAUAAAAGUCUUAGGUCUUGGAACAAGGCGAUACCUUAGUUCUGGAUGGAAUCUUUUUGAUUUGGGCACGUCAAUAAUGACACUUGUUGCAGCUUGUAUUUUAUGUUUAUUUCCUACAGCAACAUUCUUCGUGUUAUUCAGACCACUUAGACUGUUAAGAUUAUUUAAAAUGAAGAAAAGAUAUAGAGAUGUGUUUGGUACCCUGGUUAUUUUAACUCCUUUAAUGUCUUCUACUGCAGUAGUUAUGCUUGUUUUAUAUUACUUCUUUGCAAUUAUUGGAAUGGAAUUAUUCGCCGGAUAUAAUAUGCGAAAUUGUUGCAAAAAUACAACAGUUGAAGAUUUUUAUAAAUAUUCUGUCAAUGAAAGCACUACGCUAGGAUAUUAUUAUCUUAAUACUUUUGACAAUCUCAUAGCCAGUGGUAUGACUCUUUUUGAGUUAACAGUUGUUAAUAACUGGUUUAUUUUAAUGAAUGCAUAUGCAUUUACUGUUGGCAUGUACACAAGAAUAUAUUUUAUGAUAUUUUAUCUGGUGACAAUGAUUGUGUUAACAAUCGUGGUAUCUAGUUUUUUGGAAGCAUUUCGAUUUAGGAUACAUUAUAAGAAGUCAACAUCUAAGCGCGAUGAAGAAAAAAUGCUUCAUGAAGAAGUAGAAUUGAAAUGGGAUGAAUUACAAUGUAUGAUAGAAGAUUUUCAAAUUCUAGAAAAAUUGCGGCCUUUACUCAUAGUUGGUGGGACAACUAUUUUUAUUGGUUCACGGCCUCGAACACGAGAAGUAUUGCAAAGAAAAAUGUAUACAAAUGAAAUAAACGAAUGGAUUGCAGAAGCAAUACAAACAGAAAGACAGUGUUUAUUAAAUACUCAUAACCCGGAUGCAGAUUGUACAGAUGACAUAAUUUCUGAAUCAAAUCAUCUAGGAAUGACAGAAAAUUUGUGACACAUACAUCGCAAUGUAUCUAAUGUUGUAUAGUUAUAAUAAUAAAUUAAAUGUAUUUAACAGUUGUAUAUCUAUACAACAUGCUGGAUUAAGAAGGUUGUAACCUAAACCAAGUAGUACAACAAAUUAUAUGGUGAUUCAAAAAAUUUAACAUCCAGAAUACGAAUGAUUAUUACCUCAGGUACAAAAUAUAAUUUUCCUAUUUUUUCAGGAGGGAAUGAAUAUGCAGUAGCAUUAUCAGUUUAAAAUAAUUAUACAGAAUUUUCCCUUCAGAGCGGUGUAUUUUUUAUUUUUCUUU